CCUCCCAGAGAGGAGGAAUCAGAAACCACGCCACAGUGCCUGUCAUAAAAGGUCACUUUUUUUGCUCGGAACAAACCAUUAAUCAAUAGAGUGUAAUUGUCCGAGCGCUUGCAAGGGCUCUGCAGCGGAGGGACCUUGUUUUUCACUCGCAUAAUUGCAAAACAGCAAAAGUUCAGAAACAUAACCCAAAUCCACCUCCCCAUUUUACCCCUUUACAAUUCCCACUGCCCUUUGGGCCUCUUCUUGGAAGCAAAUGGAAGACAAGCUGAAGUUCUCUCAAUUGAGCCGGAGCUAAGAAACCUUUGAUAUGCUAAUACCCUCCUUCAAACGGCACCCCCCAUCCCGCACGGGCUGGGAGCCGGGCGCUCGGCAGAGUUACACGAAUACACCCGCAACAGUUCCCCACACUCCGCUCCGCAGCAAAAGCGCGAUGCAGCCAGGCUCCCGCACGCACGCACACAAGAAAUAAAUUCAGUAAAAAAAAAAAAAUUAAAAAAAGCCGAAAUGGAGAGGAGGACGGGCGCAGUGCAG
Zonotrichia leucophrys gambelii is the source of this 531-nucleotide long non-coding RNA. RefSeq lists it as uncharacterized. NCBI's taxonomy places the organism in Eukaryota, Metazoa, Chordata, Aves, Passeriformes, Passerellidae. The transcript has 3 exons. The record is from RefSeq and is a predicted model, not a curated record.